RNAcentral lists this ribosomal RNA (253 nucleotides) under uncultured bacterium. RNAcentral describes it as "partial 16S ribosomal RNA". It matches the Rfam family "Bacterial small subunit ribosomal RNA", at positions 524 to 776 of the family's 1533-position model. The record is from RNAcentral.
UACGGAGGGAGCUAGCGUUGUUCGGAAUUACUGGGCGUAAAGGGUGCGCAGGCGGGCACUUAAGUCAGGGGUGAAAUCCCGAGGCUCAACCUCGGAACUGCCUUUGAUACUGGGUGUCUUGAGUCCGGAAGAGGUGAGUGGAACUGCGAGUGUAGAGGUGAAAUUCGUAGAUAUUCGCAAGAACACCGGUGGCGAAGGCGGCUCACUGGUCCGGAACUGACGCUGAGGCACGACAGCGUGGGGAGCAAACAGG